Molecule: ribosomal RNA, 253 nt
Filed under: uncultured bacterium
Lineage: Bacteria
Also listed under: 1 other name
Description: partial 16S ribosomal RNA
Rfam family: Bacterial small subunit ribosomal RNA
Source: RNAcentral
UACGAAGGGUGCAAGCGUUGCUCGGAAUUAUUGGGCGUAAAGGGUAGGUAGGUGGUAAUACAAGUCUGGGGUGAAAUCCCUGAGCUCAACUCAGGACGUGCCUUGGAAACUGUAUUACUAGAGUGCUGGAGAGGUCCGCAGAAUUCCCGGUGUAGCGGUGAAAUGCGUAGAGAUCGGGAGGAAUACCAGAGGCGAAGGCGGCGGACUGGACAGUCACUGACACUCAACUACGAAAGCGUGGGUAGCAAACAGG